GCCCUUUUAACUCAGUGGUAGAGUAAUGCCAUGGUAAGGCAUAAGUC
Molecule: transfer RNA, 47 nt
Filed under: Aegilops markgrafii
Lineage: Eukaryota; Viridiplantae; Streptophyta; Magnoliopsida; Poales; Poaceae
Also listed under: 1 other name
Description: partial tRNA-Thr
Rfam family: tRNA
About the family: Transfer RNA (tRNA) molecules are approximately 80 nucleotides in length. Their secondary structure includes four short double-helical elements and three loops (D, anti-codon, and T loops).
Source: RNAcentral